AUGAUGUGACAGUUUAGCUAUAAUAGUAAGCAAUAUCUGCAUUGUGCUCUUUAAAACACUAAAUAUAUGGAAUCAGUCCUCUAUCCGAGGACAAUAUAUUAGAUUGAUUUUUGGAGCAGGGAGAUGGAAUAGGAGCUUGCUCUGUCCACUCCAUGCAUUGACCUGGUAUUGCAGUACUUCCAGGAAUGGUGCACCCCCU
Small nuclear RNA from Echinops telfairi (small Madagascar hedgehog), 199 nucleotides. RefSeq annotates it as U2 spliceosomal RNA. The transcript has a single exon. The record is from RefSeq and is a predicted model, not a curated record. Lineage: Eukaryota; Metazoa; Chordata; Mammalia; Afrosoricida; Tenrecidae.